Molecule: regulatory RNA element, 67 nt
Organism: Clostridium sp. CAG:448
Lineage: Bacteria; Bacillati; Bacillota; Clostridia; Eubacteriales; Clostridiaceae
Rfam family: pemK RNA
Source: Rfam
AUAAUGAUACUUUUGUAGCCGAAAGGCGCAACCGGCGGAGUACCCGGCGGAGGUGAGAUUCCUAUGG